RNAcentral lists this ribosomal RNA (435 nucleotides) under uncultured bacterium. RNAcentral describes it as "partial 16S ribosomal RNA". It matches the Rfam family "Bacterial small subunit ribosomal RNA", at positions 29 to 507 of the family's 1533-position model. The record is from RNAcentral.
AGCGAACGCUGGCGGCAGGCUUAACACAUGCCAGUCGAGCGGGCACUUUCGGGUGUCAGCGGCGGACGGGUGAGUAACGCGUGGGAACGUGCCCUCUGGUUCGGAAUAACUCAGGGAAACUUGAGCUAAUACCGGAUACGCCCUUUUGGGGAAAGGCUUGCUGCCGGAGGAUCGGCCCGCGUCUGAUUAGCUAGUUGGUGAGGUAACGGCUCACCAAGGCGACGAUCAGUAGCUGGUCUGAGAGGAUGAUCAGCCACACUGGGACUGAGACACGGCCCAGACUCCUACGGGAGGCAGCAGUGGGGAAUAUUGGACAAUGGGCGCAAGCCUGAUCCAGCCAUGCCGCGUGAGUGAUGAAGGCCUUAGGGUUGGAAAGCUCUUUUAUCCGGGACGAUAAUGACGGUACCGGAGGAAUAAGCCCCGGCUAACUUCGUG